GCUGGCGGCGUGCUUAACACAUGCAAGUCGAACGAUGAACCUCACUUGUGGGGGGAUUAGUGGCGAACGGGUGAGUAACACGUGAGUAACCUGCCCUUGACUCUGGGAUAAGCCUGGGAAACCGGGUCUAAUACUGGAUACGACCUUCUGGCGCAUGCCAUGUUGGUGGAAAGCUUUUGUGGUUUUGGAUGGACUCGCGGCCUAUCAGCUUGUUGGUGGGGUAAUGGCCUACCAAGGCGACGACGGGUAGCCGGCCUGAGAGGGUGACCGGCCACACUGGGACUGAGACACGGCCCAGACUCCUACGGGAGGCAGCAGUGGGGAAUAUUGCACAAUGGGCGCAAGCCUGAUGCAGCGACGCCGCGUGAGGGAUGAAGGCCUUCGGGUUGUAAACCUCUUUCAGUAGGGAAGAAGCGAAAGUGACGGUACCUGCAGAAGAAGCGCCGGCUAACUACGUGCCAGCAGCCGCGGUAAUACGUAGGGCGCAAGCGUUAUCCGGAAUUAUUGGGCGUAAAGAGCUCGUAGGCGGUUUGUCGCGUCUGCCGUGAAAGUCCGGGGCUUAACUCCGGAUCUGCGGUGGGUACGGGCAGACUAGAGUGCAGUAGGGGAGACUGGAAUUCCUGGUGUAGCGGUGAAAUGCGCAGAUAUCAGGAGGAACACCGAUGGCGAAGGCAGGUCUCUGGGCUGUAACUGACGCUGAGGAGCGAAAGCAUGGGGAGCGAACAGGAUUAGAUACCCUGGUAGUCCAUGCCGUAAACGUUGGGCACUAGGUGUGGGGGACAUUCCACGUUUUCCGCGCCGUAGCUAACGCAUUAAGUGCCCCGCCUGGGGAGUACGGCCGCAAGGCUAAAACUCAAAGGAAUUGACGGGGGCCCGCACAAGCGGCGGAGCAUGCGGAUUAAUUCGAUGCAACGCGAAGAACCUUACCAAGGCUUGACAUGAACCGGAAUGAUGCAGAGAUGUGUCAGCCACUUGUGGCCGGUUUACAGGUGGUGCAUGGUUGUCGUCAGCUCGUGUCGUGAGAUGUUGGGUUAAGUCCCGCAACGAGCGCAACCCUCGUUCCAUGUUGCCAGCGGGUUAUGCCGGGGACUCAUGGGAGACUGCCGGGGUCAACUCGGAGGAAGGUGGGGACGACGUCAAAUCAUCAUGCCCCUUAUGUCUUGGGCUUCACGCAUGCUACAAUGGCCGGUACAAAGGGUUGCGAUACUGUGAGGUGGAGCUAAUCCCAAAAAGCCGGUCUCAGCCGGAUUGAGGUCUGCAACUCGACCUCAUGAAGUUGCAGUCGCUAGCACUCGCAGAUCAGCACCGCUGCGGUGAACACGUCCCCGGGCCUUGUACCCACCGCCCGUCAAGUC
RNAcentral lists this ribosomal RNA (1355 nucleotides) under uncultured Actinomycetes bacterium. RNAcentral's name for it is "bacterial SSU rRNA". It matches the Rfam family "Bacterial small subunit ribosomal RNA", at positions 35 to 1403 of the family's 1533-position model. Lineage: Bacteria; Bacillati; Actinomycetota; Actinomycetes. The record is from RNAcentral.